RNAcentral lists this ribosomal RNA (484 nucleotides) under uncultured bacterium. Its description in RNAcentral is "bacterial SSU rRNA". It matches the Rfam family "Bacterial small subunit ribosomal RNA", at positions 28 to 479 of the family's 1533-position model. The record is from RNAcentral.
GACGAACGCUGGCGGCGUGCUUAACACAUGCAAGUCGAACGAAGAGACAUGAGAGCUUGCUCUUAUGAAUCUUAGUGGCGAACGGGUGAGUAACGCGUAAUCAACCUGCCCUUCAAUGGGGGGACAACAGUUGGAAACGACUGCUAAUACCGCAUACGAUCUGCGUCCGGCAUCGGGCGUAGAUGGAAAGAUGGCCUCUAUUUAUAAGCUAUCGUUGAAGGAGGGGAUUGCGUCUGAUUAGCUAGUUGGAGGGGUAACGGCCCACCAAGGCAAUGAUCAGUAGCCGGUCUGAGAGGAUGAACGGCCACAUUGGGACUGAGACACGGCCCAAACUCCUACGGGAGGCAGCAGUGGGGAAUCUUCCGCAAUGGACGAAAGUCUGACGGAGCAACGCCGCGUGAGUGAUGAAGGUCUUCGGAUUGUAAAGCUCUGUUAAUCGGGACGAAAGCGUUCUGUGUGAAUAAUGCAGGACAGUGACGGUACC